This 425-nucleotide ribosomal RNA is filed under the name uncultured bacterium. RNAcentral's name for it is "bacterial SSU rRNA". It matches the Rfam family "Bacterial small subunit ribosomal RNA", at positions 355 to 775 of the family's 1533-position model. The record is from RNAcentral.
UCGAGGAUCUUCGGCAAUGGGCGCAAGCCUGACCGAGCGACGCCGCGUGCGGGAUGAAGGCCUUCGGGUUGUAAACCGCUGUCAGUGGGGAGGAAAUGCCGGUGGGUUCUCCCAUCGGUUUGACCUAUCCGCAGAGGAAGUGUGGGCUAAGCUCGUGCCAGCAGCCGCGGUAAGACGAGCCACACAAACGUUAUUCGGAAUCACUGGGCUUAAAGGGUGCGUAGGCUGCGCGGAAAGUGGGGUGUGAAAGCCCUCGGCUCAACCGAGGAAUGGCGCUCCAAACUACCGUGCUCGAGGAAGACAGAGGUAAGCGGAACUGAGGGUGGAGCGGUGAAAUGCGUUGAUAUCCUCAGGAACACCGGUGGCGAAAGCGGCUUACUGGGUCUUUUCUGACGCUGAGGCACGAAAGCUAGGGUAGCAAACGG